GACGAACGCUGGCGGCGUGCUUAACACAUGCAAGUCGAACGGACAGGCCAGGCUUUUGUGGGUUUGUCGAGAGGCGCAGGGGGGAGUAACACACGAGUAACAUGUACUUAACUGUGGGAUAACUCUUGGAAAAAGGGGCUAUUAUCGGAUAGAAGCUCUUGAUGCAUGUUGGGGGAUGGAAAGAUUCGGCGGUGGUGGCUAGACUCGCUGCUUAUGAGCUGGUUGGUGGGGUAGUGGCUGUCAAGGGCUUUGAGGGGUAGCCCGCCUGAGAGAGUGACCGGCCACCUGGCGCCUGCGAUACGGCGCAGACUCCAACGGGCCGCAGCAGUGGGGAACCUUGCACAAUGAGCGGACGCCUGAUGUAGCAACCCCGCGUGCGUAAUGACCUCCUUCGGGUUAUAAACCGCUUUCGCAUGUGCCGAAGCGUGCGUGACGGUAAUGGAUAAAGAAGCACCGGCUAACUACGUG
Molecule: ribosomal RNA, 468 nt
Filed under: uncultured bacterium
Lineage: Bacteria
Description: partial 16S ribosomal RNA
Rfam family: Bacterial small subunit ribosomal RNA
Source: RNAcentral